RNAcentral lists this ribosomal RNA (232 nucleotides) under uncultured bacterium. RNAcentral's name for it is "partial 16S ribosomal RNA". It matches the Rfam family "Bacterial small subunit ribosomal RNA", at positions 96 to 334 of the family's 1533-position model. The record is from RNAcentral.
CGGCGAACGGGUGAGUAACGCGUAGGAAUCUACCUUUUAGUGGAGAAUACCCUCGAGAAAUCGAGGUUAAUACUGCAUAAGUCUAGUAAUAGAGAAAGAUGGCCUCUUGCUGUCGCUAGAAGAUGAGCCUGCGUACUAUUAGCUAGUUGGUGGGGUAAAGGCCUACCAAGGCAAUGAUGGUUAGCCGGCCUGAGAGGGUGUACGGCCACACUGGAACUUAGACACGGUCCAG